This 460-nucleotide ribosomal RNA is filed under the name uncultured bacterium. Its description in RNAcentral is "partial 16S ribosomal RNA". It matches the Rfam family "Bacterial small subunit ribosomal RNA", at positions 338 to 795 of the family's 1533-position model. The record is from RNAcentral.
CCUACGGGAGGCAGCAGUGAGGAAUAUUGGUCAAUGGACGAGAGUCUGAACCAGCCAAGUAGCGUGCAGGAUGACUGCCCUAUGAGUUGUAAACUUCUUUUAUAUGGGAAUAAAAUGUUUCACGUGUGGGAUUUUGUAUGUACCAUAUGAAUAAGGAUCGGCUAACUCCGUGCCAGCAGCCGCGGUAAUACGGAGGAUUCGAUCGUUAUCCGGAUUUAUUGGGUUUAAAGGGAGCGUAGGUGGAUUGUUAAGUUAGUGGUGAAAGUUUGGGGCGCAACCGUAAAAGUGCAUUUGAAACUGGCAGUCUUGAGGACAGUAGAGGGAGGCGGAAUGCGUGGUGUAGCAGUGAAAUGCUUAGAUAUCACGAAGAACUCCGAUUGCGAAGGCAGUUCACUGGACUGCAACUGACACUGAUGCUCGAAAGUGUGGGUAGCAAACAGGAUUAGAUACCCUAGUAGUC